UCUUCAUUUUCCACACUCUCUCACCAGUCAGAGAGGCGAGAGAGUGUACAAAAUGAAGAGA
Pristionchus pacificus is the source of this 61-nucleotide non-coding RNA. Lineage: Eukaryota; Metazoa; Nematoda; Chromadorea; Rhabditida; Neodiplogasteridae. The record is from Rfam.